Molecule: ribosomal RNA, 252 nt
Filed under: uncultured bacterium
Lineage: Bacteria
Description: partial 16S ribosomal RNA
Rfam family: Bacterial small subunit ribosomal RNA
Source: RNAcentral
UACGGAGGAUGCGAGCGUUAUCCGGAUUUAUUGGGUUUAAAGGGUGCGUAGGCGGGAUGCCAAGUCAGCGGUCAAAUACGGGGGCUCAACCUGCGUCCGCCGUUGAAACUGGCGUUCUUGAGUGGGCGAGAAGUACGCGGAAUGCGUGGUGUAGCGGUGAAAUGCAUAGAUAUCACGCAGAACCCCGAUUGCGAAGGCAGCGUACCGGCGCCCAACUGACGCUGAAGCACGAAAGCGUGGGUAUCGAACAGG